GACGAACGCUGGCGGCGUGCUUAACACAUGCAAGUCGAGCGGAAAGGCCCUUCGGGGUACUCGAGCGGCGAACGGGUGAGUAACACGUGAGCAACCUGCCCCUAGCUCUGGGAUAGCUCCGGGAAACCGGGAUUAAUACCGGAUAAGACCACUUUAGACAUCUGCUGUGGUGGAAAGGAUUCCGGCUAGGGAUGGGCUCG
Molecule: ribosomal RNA, 200 nt
Filed under: uncultured bacterium
Lineage: Bacteria
Description: partial 16S ribosomal RNA
Rfam family: Bacterial small subunit ribosomal RNA
Source: RNAcentral